Molecule: ribosomal RNA, 421 nt
Filed under: uncultured bacterium
Lineage: Bacteria
Description: bacterial SSU rRNA
Rfam family: Bacterial small subunit ribosomal RNA
Source: RNAcentral
UGACGGUCGGGGAAGUCUUAGGCGGCGGACGGGUGAGUAACGCGUGAAGUUAACCUGUCCUUCGAGGAGGGGACAACAUCUACGGAAAGGGGUGCUAAUACCGCAUAAUAUUGUUUUAUCGCAUGGUAAAACAAUCAAAGAUUUAUCGCCUGAAGAUGGACUCGCGUCUGAUUAGCUAGUUGGUGAGGUAAUGGCUCACCAAGGCGACGAUCAGUAGCCGAACUGAGAGGUUGAACGGCCACAUUGGGACUGAGAUAUGGCCCAGACUCCUACGGGAGGCAGCAGUCGGGAAUAUUGCGCAAUGGAGGAAACUCUGACGCAGUGACGCCGCGUAUAGGAAGAAGGUUUUCGGAUUGUAAACUAUUGUCGUUAGGGAAGAUACAAGACAGUACCUAAGGAGGAAGCCCCGGCUAACUAUGUG